Molecule: ribosomal RNA, 253 nt
Filed under: uncultured bacterium
Lineage: Bacteria
Description: partial 16S ribosomal RNA
Rfam family: Bacterial small subunit ribosomal RNA
Source: RNAcentral
UACGUAGGGUGCGAGCGUUGUCCGGAAUCACUGGGCGUAAAGGGCGCGUAGGUGGCCUGGUAAGUAGGGGGUGAAAUCCUGUGGCUUAACUGCAGGACGGCCUCCUAGACUGCUAGGCUUGAGCACGGUAGAGGCUGGUGGAAUUCCCGGUGUAGCGGUGGAAUGCGUAGAGAUCGGGAAGAACAUCGGUGGCGAAGGCGGCCAGCUGGGCCGUUGCUGACACUGAGGCGCGACAGCGUGGGGAGCAAACAGG